ACUGGGCAUGGUGGUGCAUGCCUGUAAUCCUAGCAGCUCGGAAGGCUGAGGCAGGAGGACUGCAAGUUCAAAGCCGGCCUCAGC
This 84-nucleotide small RNA is filed under the name Marmota monax (woodchuck). The record is from RNAcentral. Lineage: Eukaryota; Metazoa; Chordata; Mammalia; Rodentia; Sciuridae.